Molecule: ribosomal RNA, 301 nt
Filed under: uncultured bacterium
Lineage: Bacteria
Description: partial 16S ribosomal RNA
Rfam family: Bacterial small subunit ribosomal RNA
Source: RNAcentral
CAGUAGCCGCGGUAAUACGAAGGGUGCAAGCGUUAAUCGGAAUUACUGGGCGUAAAGCGUGCGUAGGCGGUUUGUUAAGUCUGUUGUGAAAUCCCCGGGCUCAACCUGGGAAUGGCAAUGGAUACUGGCAAGCUAGAGUGUGUCAGAGGAUGGUGGAAUUCCCGGUGUAGCGGUGAAAUGCGUAGAGAUCGGAAGGAACAUCAGUGGCGAAGGCGGCCAUCUGGGACAACACUGACGCUGAGGCACGAAAGCGUGGGGAGCAAACAGGAUUAGAUACCCCUGUAGUCCCUGUCUCUUAUAC